AACGAACGCUGGCGGCGUGCUUAACACAUGCAAGUCGAACGGUGAACGAGGGAGCUUGCUCCCUCCGGAUCAGUGGCGAACGGGUGAGUAACACGUGAGCAAUCUGCCCCGAACUCUGGGAUAAGCGUUGGAAACGACGUCUAAUACCGGAUACGACGCGGGAGGGCAUCCUCUCCGCGUGGAAAGAACUUCGGUUCGGGCUGAGCUCGCGGCCUAUCAGCUUGUUGGUGAGGUAACGGCUCACCAAGGCGACGACGGGUAGCCGGCCUGAGAGGGUGACCGGCCACACUGGGACUGAGACACGGCCCAGACUCCUACGGGAGGCAGCAGUGGGGAAUAUUGCACAAUGGGCGCAAGCCUGAUGCAGCAACGCCGCGUGAGGGACGACGGCCUUCGGGUUGUAAACCUCUUUUAGCAGGGAAGAAGCGAAAGUGACGGUACCUGCAGAAAAAGCACCGGCUAACUACGUG
Molecule: ribosomal RNA, 470 nt
Filed under: uncultured bacterium
Lineage: Bacteria
Description: partial 16S ribosomal RNA
Rfam family: Bacterial small subunit ribosomal RNA
Source: RNAcentral